UGGAGAACUGAAACAUCUUAGUAACCAGAGGAAAAGAAAUCAAUUGAGAUUUCCUGAGUAGCGGCGAGCGAAACGGAAAUAGUCCAGUCACUGAAUCCAAAUGAAAUUAGUAAAACAACCUGGGAAGGUUGGCCAUAGAAGGUGAUAGCCCUGUAUACGAAAAUUGAAUUUGGUGGGUGACGAUGAGUAGAGCGGGACACGUGGUAUCUUGCUUGAACAUGGGGGGACCAUCCUCCAAGACUAAAUACUCUAUGCCGACCGAUAGUGAACUAGUACUGUGAAGGAAAGGCGAAAAGAACCCCUGUUAGGGGAGUGAAAUAG
This 321-nucleotide ribosomal RNA is filed under the name Oxyrrhis marina. RNAcentral's name for it is "partial Bacterial large subunit ribosomal RNA". It matches the Rfam family "Bacterial large subunit ribosomal RNA", at positions 186 to 546 of the family's 2925-position model. Lineage: Eukaryota; Dinophyceae; Oxyrrhinales; Oxyrrhinaceae. The record is from RNAcentral.